UGUUUCCACAGAAUAUACUACUAAAAUUGGGAUGACAACAGAAGACUAGCAUGGCCCUGUGUAAGGUUGUUACACACAUUCAAGAGAUACUCCAUAUUUUU
Small nuclear RNA from Myotis lucifugus (little brown bat), 101 nucleotides. NCBI's taxonomy places the organism in Eukaryota, Metazoa, Chordata, Mammalia, Chiroptera, Vespertilionidae. The record is from Ensembl.